RNA transcript from Solanum verrucosum, 1696 nucleotides. RefSeq lists it as uncharacterized. Lineage: Eukaryota; Viridiplantae; Streptophyta; Magnoliopsida; Solanales; Solanaceae. The transcript is spliced from 17 exons. The record is from RefSeq and is a predicted model, not a curated record.
UCUGAUACAAUAAUGGAAAUAUGGAAUUUUCCGGCGUGUUCCUUCUUCUCCGACCACCAUACACAUACAAUUAUGCCCUCGUUGCUUUCAGGUCGGAUACUCCAUUUUCCCAAGCUCUCUGCAACUUCUUCUUCUGAAUCAUAUUCCAGUAAACAAGUGAAAUUUCCAAAGAAAAUCAGCCAAAAUUCUGCAACUUCUGUUCGCCCUGCAGAUUCUGGCAGUCCCCUAAGGAAAACCCACAAGUUGAAUUUGGAAGUUUCUCCUCAUAGAGCUGUGUCUGCGGUUAGAUUGAUGCGUAUAGAGUUUGGUGGUGCAUUUGCUGAUCUUCUGAACGAGCAAGGGAAGGGUUCAGGGGAUAAUGAAAUGGGAUAUGUUGAAAGAACUCUUGGGUUUCGUACUCGUGACUUAGACGACAGAGAUUUAAGACUGGUCACGGAGGUUGUUGGAGGCACCAUUCGCUGGAGAAGAUAUCUUGAUCACUUGAUUCUUUCAUUAUGCCACGAUGAGCGGACAUUCAGAAGCAUGGAACCUCUUCUAGUACAGAUUCUUCGAAUUGGUUUCUAUGAGAUCACCAAGUUAGACAUGCCACCUUAUGCUGUUGUAGAUGAGAGUGUAAGGCUCGCAAAAGUUGCUCUUAGACCAGGUGCCGGUAACUUGGUUAAUGGGAUUCUCAGGAAACUAGCAGUCCUUAAGGAGAGUGAUUCCCUUCCGGCAGUGGAAGUGGAUGGUGAUGAUCGUCAGCAAGCACGUGGUCUUGCCACUCUUUACUCUCAUCCAGUUUGGAUGGUAAGAAGAUGGACAAAGUAUUUUGGACAGGACACAGCUAUUAAGCUUAUGACAUGGAAUAACAGCUAUCCCAGUUUUAGUCUAAGGGCAAAUACUGGGAAAGGUUUGACAGGGGCUGAUCUCGUCUCAAGGCUUAAAAUGUUGAAGGUCCCACAUGAGCCUUCUCUAUACUUGGAUGAUUUUGUACGUCUAAAAACUGGAAUGCAGAAUGUUAUACAGGCUGGAUUACUAAAAGAAGGCUUCUGUGCAGUCCAGGAUGAAAGUGCCGGAUUAGUAGUCUCUAUUGUUGAUCCACAACCUGGUGAGAACAUUAUUGAUUGUUGUGCUGCUCCAGGAGGGAAAACCUUGUUCAUGGCAUCCCGUUUGAAUGGCCAAGGUAAAUUAUUUGCUGUUGACAUAAAUGAAGGUCGAUUGCGGAUACUCAGAGAGACAGCCAAGUUGCACCAAGUUAUUGAUGUUAUCAGUACUAUCCAUUCUGAUCUUCGAACUUUUUCUACGGAUAAAGUCGUAGAAUGGGAUAAAGUUUUACUGGAUGCACCUUGUUCAGGACUUGGUGUUCUUUCAAAGAAAGCGAGCAGAUUUGCGUUGGAAUAGGAGACUGGAAGACAUGGAGCAACUUAAACAUUUACAGGAUGAGCUUCUCGAUUCAGCUUCCAGGUUGGUGAAGCCAGGUGGAGUGCUAAUAUACAGCACAUGUUCCAUUGACCCUGAAGAGAAUGAGGAAAGAAUUGAAGCUUUUCUCUUGAGGCAUCCAGAAUUUUACAUUGAUCCUGUGAACAAAUAUGUACCUGAGAAUUUUGUUACUAACCGAGGUUUCUAUAUGUCUAAUCCUGUGAAGCAUGAACUUGAUGGAGCCUUUGCAGCUCGCCUGGUUAGGUCUCAAUAAAUCGAGAAUGAGGAGCAUGUUCCA